UACAGAGGGUGCGAGCGUUAAUCGGAAUUACUGGGCGUAAAGCGCGCGUAGGCGGCUUUGCAAGUCGGGUGUGAAAUCCCCAGGCUUAACCUGGGAACUGCAUUCGAGACUGCAUUGCUAGAGUAUGGGAGAGGGAAGUGGAAUUUCCGGUGUAGCGGUGAAAUGCGUAGAUAUCGGAAGGAACAUCAGUGGCGAAAGCGACUUCCUGGACCAAUACUGACGCUCAUGUGCGAAAGCAUGGAGAGCAAACAGG
This 253-nucleotide ribosomal RNA is filed under the name uncultured bacterium. Its description in RNAcentral is "partial 16S ribosomal RNA". It matches the Rfam family "Bacterial small subunit ribosomal RNA", at positions 524 to 776 of the family's 1533-position model. The record is from RNAcentral.